CCUACGGGAGGCAGCAGUGGGGGAUAUUGCACAAUGGGGGGAACCCUGAUGCAGCGACGCCGCGUGGGUGAAGAAGCGCCUCGGCGCGUAAAGCCCUGUCAGCAGGGAAGAAAAUGACGGUACCUGUAGAAGAAGCCCCGGCUAACUACGUGCCAGCAUCCGCGGUAAUACGUAGGGGGCAAGCGUUAUCCGGAUUUACUGGGUGUAAAGGGGGCGCAGACGGGGUUGCAAGCCAGGAGUGAAAGCCCCGGGCCCAACCCCGGGACUGCUCUUGGAACUGCGUGGCUGGAGUGCAGGAGGGGCAGGCGGAAUUCGUGGUGUAGCGGUGAAAUGCGUAGAUAUCAGGAGGAACACCGGUGGCGAAGGCGGCCUGCUGGACUGCAACUGACGUUGAGGCCCGAAAGCGUGGGGAGCAAACAGGAUUAGAUACCCGGGUAGUC
RNAcentral lists this ribosomal RNA (440 nucleotides) under uncultured bacterium. RNAcentral describes it as "partial 16S ribosomal RNA". It matches the Rfam family "Bacterial small subunit ribosomal RNA", at positions 338 to 795 of the family's 1533-position model. The record is from RNAcentral.